AUGUCAUGGAAAAUGAUGAGGUUAAGUGCGGGGCUUUUUAUUUUCUGUAUAUUUUUAUAGUGCUCUUGGUAUGUCUAAAGAAGUUGUUAUGCAUUCAGAAUGAUAUUUCUGAAUUGGUUAUGCAUAGUUUGAUUUAAAAAUCCAAAAAACAAAUUCCUUGGGCUUAGAGUUGACACUAAAAAGUAAUGCUUGUGUUUUUUCAGCACGUGCAAGCACAAAGUCCAUUCCGGGUCUUGCUAGGAAACACCCAGAGUUUACCCAGGUCAAGUUAAGCUAUCCUCACACAUAGGAAAAGCCCUCUGUUCCAGCAGUGGUGAGAUGCCUGCACAGUUGAUGUGUUACCUAUUUACUAAGAGAAAAAAAUUUACUAAGUUCGUCAAGAAUUUCACAAUCCUCUGAUCCUUUGGCUGUGAUCAACCUGCACCCAAUCUCAAACUCCAGUUUUCAUCAGACUCCAGAUCUCAUCACUUCCAGUGAUGAAUAAACAUUUUUCUCAACCUUUUAAAAUAUACUGCAUGUUUGGAUCUACUUGACCUUAAGGGCUUUACUCUGUGUGGUGUUAUUGGACCUCCAUAUUCCAGGAAAAUAGCCUACUUCAGUCCUCAGGGAUAGUGGGUGCAGGCCAGGCUGCAGCAUUCUCACAAAAACUAAGGUGAUUUUUGGACAUUGCAAGUAUAAGAUGGAGAGGUUGUGAUGAGAGGAAUGAGUAACAAUAUCACAACAGGGAAAAAGAAUCAAACAUUGAGUUAAAAGGAACCUGCUAGUGGAAAAACUGAGGUUCUGUAAACCAAUAUACAGAAUUUGGAUGCUAAGGAAAAUUAGAACUCCAUGACCAUUGGACAUUUGACCUCAAAAAAGAGAACAGCCUCAAAAGUGGAUAUGGACAACAAGCUUGUUGAAAAGGAUUACACAGAGGAGUCAGGAGGUCUACUUGAAUGGAAGUCAGGAGUACUUCACGAACCCAAAAACCAGCUGGAAAAACAAAGAAAGCUCAGUGACCUUGACUGAGAAGAAGCAGAUGAUGAUUAGAAGAAAGAAAAGAAAGAAAAGGGUAGAUCUUUUCCAUAGGUCUGUUUGGCCUUUGUGACACAAUAUGAUGGAGAGAAGGCACACUUGAAUAGUUUGCUUUGAAGACUGAGCGUCCUGAUUUAGCAAAUGCAGGCACUGCAAAGCAGUGUGGGACAAAACACCCAGUGAUUUCACUGCAACCAUCACUGUGCUUCAUAGACAGCUCUGCAGAGUUGGUCUCAUCCCAUCUACCUUCUUUCUUUACCUCCUACCUGCCUAAGAGCCAACACAGAUUGCCACAGUGUUAAUUCUAGCCAAUUCCAGUGGAAAAUAAGGGCAUAUGACAAGAGUGCACAUAUGUUAAUGACUCAGGCACCCUGAACGUUUUAUUUGUCAUUUUAUAUGUUGUUUGUUAC
Molecule: long non-coding RNA, 1424 nt
Filed under: Manacus vitellinus (golden-collared manakin)
Lineage: Eukaryota; Metazoa; Chordata; Aves; Passeriformes; Pipridae
Description: lncRNA (ENSMVIG00005003380.1)
Source: RNAcentral